CCUACGGGAGGCAGCAGUGAGGAAUAUUGGUCAAUGGACGAGAGUCUGAACCAGCCAAGCAGCGUGAAGGAUGACUGCCCUAUGGGUUGUAAACCUCUUUUAUAAGGGAAUAAAAGGGUCCACGUGUGGGCGUUUGUAUGUACCUUAUGAAAAAGGAUCGGCUAACUCCGUGCCAGCAGCCGCGGUAAUACGGAGGAUCCGAGCGUUAUCCGGAUUUAUUGGGUUUAAAGGGUGCGUAGGUGGUUUGUUAAGUCAGUUGUGAAAGUCUGCGGCUCAACCGUAAAAUUGCAGUUGAAACUGGCAGUCUUGAGUAGAGUAGAGGUGGGCGGAAUGCGCGGUGUAGCGGUGAAAUGCUUAGAUAUCACGAAGAACUCCGAUUGCGAAGGCAGCACGCUGGACUGAAACUGACACUGAGGCACGAAAGUGUGGGUAUCAAACAGGAUUAGAUACCCCGGUAGUC
This 460-nucleotide ribosomal RNA is filed under the name uncultured bacterium. RNAcentral describes it as "partial 16S ribosomal RNA". It matches the Rfam family "Bacterial small subunit ribosomal RNA", at positions 338 to 795 of the family's 1533-position model. The record is from RNAcentral.